UACGUAGGGUGCGAGCGUUAAUCGGAAUUACUGGGCGUAAAGCGUGCGCAGGCGGUGAUGUAAGACCGAUGUGAAAUCCCCGGGCUUAACCUGGGAACUGCAUUGGUGACUGCAUCGCUGGAGUAUGGCAGAGGGGGGUAGAAUUCCACGUGUAGCAGUGAAAUGCGUAGAGAUGUGGAGGAAUACCGAUGGCGAAGGCAGCCCCCUGGGCCAAUACUGACGCUCAUGCACGAAAGCGUGGGGAGCAAACAGG
RNAcentral lists this non-coding RNA (253 nucleotides) under Nevskiaceae bacterium. Its description in RNAcentral is "Sinobacteraceae bacterium partial 16S ribosomal RNA". It matches the Rfam family "Bacterial small subunit ribosomal RNA", at positions 524 to 776 of the family's 1533-position model. The record is from RNAcentral. Lineage: Bacteria; Pseudomonadati; Pseudomonadota; Gammaproteobacteria; Nevskiales; Nevskiaceae. RNAcentral also lists the same sequence under 2 other names.